This 414-nucleotide ribosomal RNA is filed under the name Triticum aestivum (bread wheat). RNAcentral's name for it is "partial small subunit ribosomal RNA". The record is from RNAcentral. Lineage: Eukaryota; Viridiplantae; Streptophyta; Magnoliopsida; Poales; Poaceae.
UGCCGUGCGCUCGGAAGGUUCCGCACCAGCAUAAUUACCAUAAGGGAAUUAUGGCCAUCUCCCCUGUCUUCAGAUGGCGGCACUGCAGGCCAGCAGUUGCUGCUCCUCGAACCAAAGGGAGAGAGAAAGGGCAGGCCUAUGGCCGAGCACAACGUCAACUUGAUAUUCAUCAGUACUAGUAUGACUGGACAAGAAAGUAUUUAAUUUUGAACACUAAAUGAAAUCCGGAUAGUCUAGUGAAAUUGCAAUAUGGAGCUUUAGUCACCUUCCCACGACAAAGAGUGAAGCAUACAAAGUAGUACUGUGCAUUUUUGAAACACUUGACUAAAACCAUAGCUGCUGUAGGCCCGUUGUCGUCCAUGAUUGUCUUUGUGAUUACUUGAAUGGGUAGCCAAGGUGCUGAUACUAAAAAAA